AAAAAGUGUUUGUAAACAAAUAUCUUCUAUAAGAAAAAGAAAACCAUACUUUUACUAUUUAUAAAGUUUUAAGACCGAAAUUGCAAAAUCGUGCUUUGCAGUGGCAUGCGGAGUGAUGUAAAGAAUAUUUUAGAAAAAUAAUCGUAAGAAAAUAUUGCUUCUUCGCUUCAAAAAACUUGAUCAGCUUCGUUGCUGUGAAAUUUUGAUGAUUUGUAUGGUAAUAUGCCUGCCUCGUUAUCGCGCUUUCUGUUGUGGCGCUGUCGUCGUCUGUUCUGUUGUUACUAAAUCGUCAGUCUACACUAGAGAUGGCUAGAACUGCUACUUGUGAAUCACUCGUGAUUCGAUCACGGUGAUUUUUCACAGUGAUUCGUGAUUUUUCGUGAUCGCUUCUGAUUGGUGAAGAACAUAACUGUUCCUUGCAUGCGUUGUUAGAAUCUUCAGCCUAAAUGUAUAUGCGCCGUAAUGAAAAACACCCUACCUGUAUAUUUUACAUAUAUUCUAUAUACAUAAGUAUGUAAUUAACGACAUCAAAUACAUCGCAUAAAAUAAAGUAAAGUAAGGAAUAGUAAAUAAAGGAAUGCUUUAAUGAGGAAGAGUGAAGAGUAAUGAAAAUAAGUCAAUAAUUAUGAAUUGCAAGUUUUAAUUUAAUUUUUCUGGCAGAUGUUUUUUAAUCCUGAUGUCAAUGGUAUUAUAAUAGAUAUGGUUGGAUAUUGUUCUCCACUUAUAAUUUUUGUUGCUGAUUCAAUCGGUUUUAGUAUGACUGCCAAUUCAUGCAAUAUUUCCCACUCUGCACUUGUAAUUUGUGGUACGUUUGACUUCCUCAAAGCGAGCCAGGAUUAAAGAGUGUGAAAUAAAUUUGCGAUUUGGAAAUUCGUAACUUGGAUUCAAAGCAUGUACAAAUUCUUUGAAUUCAAUAUCUUCAACUAUUUUAAAAGGUUGCAAAUCAUUUAUAAACAGGCAUAAUAAUUUUUCAUCAAUAUUUUUGCAGUUUGCUGCUGUCAUCUUUCGUGUGGCAAUGGCAAUACGUUACUUGGAUCAGGUUGAGAAUUUGCAGUAUGUCCUGAACUGUCUUGAGUUGUUGGCAAUAUGAUAAUAUUGCUUGGCCCAGCUUGAGGAACUUCUGGAUUAUCAGGAUCAGUUGCGGACUGUGAUGACUAUGGCUAGAAAAAAUGGAAACAUGGAAAAAUACAUUCUACAAUCAAUAGAUAUAUGAAAAAGCAUGCAGGAAAAUGUUUUUAGAUUAGAGAUAAUUACAGUGUUAAUACGUACAAACAAAAAUAGAUAUUUUUGUAAUAUUUUUACAUUUUUCAUUUCAUUUUAUUUUAUUUUAGCUUACACGUUUUAACACAAAAUAAGUUAUAAUUAUUUACUUAUUAGGGGUGUGUGGGUACCCGAAAAUACAAAUCGAGACAGAUUGCGUAGUUAUCGGGUCGAAUAGGGUAUGAUUCUGAAAGUAUGCUCAAUGCAUACAUUUUUUGGAUACAUGCACACCCAUACUACUUAUAUAUUUAUUGAUUAUAUCUUAAUUAAGCUUACCUGUGUUUUUUGUCUCCAUGCUAACUGCCAUGGACUGGAAUAACUAACAUCAUUUCUCGUCGAAUACUUACUUGGGAGGAUUCCGUUGAUCCAUCGUUGUAGUUUCCGCUCGGCUACCUCAUCUGCCCUCCUCCUGGAAUAUUGGUCCAUGAUACCUGAAACAAGAAAGGGGAAUUAAUACCUAUUCUAAUCGUAGCUAGGACCUGUCGCUCCUUAGCUUCGAAAUGGCGACCGAAGGCUCCCGACCCUGAUACGCAACAGGAUCGACGAACCCGGGGCGUUACAAGUUCAUGGGGGGUGAAUUAUUCCGAUAGAACGUGAUGUGAUCUCUCCAACGAGCCGUUCGAUUGCGGUCGGAAUGCCGUUGUUCUGAGUUGUUUAAUAUUGAAUCUCUUUGUCACAUGUUUCAUCACGGAUGAUAUUAAGUUGGCUCCCUGAUCGGUUCAAACUGCCGGAGCGGCUCGACAGAGGGAACCAAUGAACCAAGACGGUGUUAAGAAACUGUCUAGGAGACGGAAGGUUCUCCUUGAAUGUCAGGUGGGUCCGUUGACUGUCAAGAGGUUUGGCGAACGAAUACACGUCCCUACAAACGUAGCAGUCAAAAGAAGGGCGAGAAAAUACGAAAGUAAUGGUCAACGUGGUCGUGCGAAGAAAAACGGGAUUAAUUUAAGUAUUCGAAUAAUUGUUAAUAAAGGUUUAACGAAAGAGACCGGGC
This is a long non-coding RNA of Hylaeus volcanicus, 2251 nucleotides long. RefSeq lists it as uncharacterized. The transcript is spliced from 7 exons. NCBI's taxonomy places the organism in Eukaryota, Metazoa, Arthropoda, Insecta, Hymenoptera, Colletidae. The record is from RefSeq and is a predicted model, not a curated record.